Molecule: long non-coding RNA, 147 nt
Organism: Priapulus caudatus
Lineage: Eukaryota; Metazoa; Priapulida; Priapulimorpha; Priapulimorphida; Priapulidae
Exons: 3
Source: RefSeq, a predicted model, not a curated record
UAUAGCGUAAACGUACCGUUAGCACAAAUUCAAGAAAACAAUCACACAUUUCUACACAAAGUUUCACACAAAAGAUUUUCCCACACAAAGACAAACGGUCACAAGCAUAUACCAUGAGGAAAAAAUUAAGUGCGUACACAAAAUUAA